UGGAYCGUCGCAAGACGGACGGAUGCGAAAGCGUUUGCCAAGAAUGUUUUCGCUAAUCAAGAACGAAAGUUAGAGGUUCGAAGGCGAUCAGAUACCGCCCUAGUUCUAACCAUAAACGAUGCCAGCCAGCGAUGCGCCGACGUUCCUCCGAUGACUCGGCGCGCAGCUUCCGGGAAACCAAAGCUUUUGGGUUCCGGGGGAAGUAUGGUUGCAAAGCUGAAACUUAAAGGAAUUGACGGAAGGGCACCACCAGGAGUGGAGCCUGCGGCUUAAUUUGACUCAACACGGGAAACCUCACCAGGCCCGGACAUCGGGAGGAUUGACAGAUUGAGAGCUCUUUCUUGAUUCGAUGGGUGGUGGUGCAUGGCCGUUCUUAGUUGGUGGAGCGAUUUG
This 393-nucleotide ribosomal RNA is filed under the name Dentatella coxalis. Its description in RNAcentral is "SSU rRNA". It matches the Rfam family "Eukaryotic small subunit ribosomal RNA", at positions 932 to 1324 of the family's 1831-position model. Lineage: Eukaryota; Metazoa; Arthropoda; Insecta; Ephemeroptera; Ephemerellidae. The record is from RNAcentral.